Molecule: long non-coding RNA, 212 nt
Filed under: Theobroma cacao (cacao)
Lineage: Eukaryota; Viridiplantae; Streptophyta; Magnoliopsida; Malvales; Malvaceae
Description: long non-coding RNA (TCAC_LNC001072)
Source: RNAcentral
GAGACAAUAAAUUAAAUCAUCAUAAACUGGGUUAUACAAUUAGAACACAUCUCGUUCAAAAUACGUAAAAAGGCUUAUGAAUCUCAUAAAAAUCUAGGCUUAUGCCAUAAAUCCAUUCUCGGAGACACCUUGGCCGAGGCAUCCUACCGAGACCGCCAAGGCUAUUAAAAUUCACAUUUCACAUAAAUCAUGUUUUUGUUUUGAAAACAUAG